Long non-coding RNA from Oreochromis niloticus (Nile tilapia), 627 nucleotides. RefSeq lists it as uncharacterized. The record is from RefSeq and is a predicted model, not a curated record. NCBI's taxonomy places the organism in Eukaryota, Metazoa, Chordata, Actinopteri, Cichliformes, Cichlidae. The transcript has 3 exons.
AACACAACAAAAUACUUUGUAUUUCAACAACACUACAGGUUUUGUUUUUAAUCUUGUAUCAAAAGUAGCAUAAAACAGCGUUUAAUUUAAUUAUAACAACAUACAGUAAUCAUACAGUAAAGUUAAACACACCUCCAACAUCCAGUGAAUACAGAAUCAUCACAGUUACUGAGUCUGACAGUGGAUUGUACAGCUGCCGGGGCAGAAGGGACUAUUUGUUAACAUAUUGGAGUAAAAUUACUGGACUGACUGUAUCAUCGAAACCAAAGGCUGAACUGAGAGCUGAUAGGACAGCUGUUCCAGUAGGGGGCAGUGUGACCCUGACCUGCUCUGUGAGCCCAUCAUCAUCAUCAUCAUCAUCAUCAUCAUCUGGAUGGAAAUACUACUGGUACAGAGAUGGGAAAUCUUAUGAAGCUUUGACAAAUGGACAAAUCAGUGUCUCAGAGGGAGGACUCUACAGCUGCAGAGGAGGAAGAGGAGAACCAGUUUACUACACAGAGGACAGUGAGUCAGUCAGGAUUGACACAACUGUGUCAAACAGGCCUGUUGUGACUCUGUAUCCAAACUGGUCUGAGAUAUACAGAGGAGAGACGAUCACUGUCAGAUGUGAGAUCCAUGGAGGAGACA